RNAcentral lists this ribosomal RNA (253 nucleotides) under uncultured bacterium. RNAcentral's name for it is "partial 16S ribosomal RNA". It matches the Rfam family "Bacterial small subunit ribosomal RNA", at positions 524 to 776 of the family's 1533-position model. The record is from RNAcentral.
UCCGGGGGGGGUAAGCGUUGUUCGGAAUUACUGGGCGUAAAGGGCUCGUAGGCGGCCAACUAAGUCGGACGUGAAAUCCCUCAGCUUAACUGGGGAACUGCGUCCGAUACUGGAUGGCUUGGAUUUGGGAGAGGGAUGCGGAAUUCCAGGUGUAGCGGUGAAAUGCGUAGAUAUCUGGAGGAACACCGGUGGCGAAGGCGGCAGCCUGGACCAAUAUUGACGCUGAGGAGCGAAAGCCAGGGGAGCAAACGGG